AUGAAGGUAAUUGGAGGCCUCUUUGUCAAGACUGAGCGAAUAGUUGAAUAUACACUUGCUUUGAAGAUGAGAAACGUGAAGUCUGAAGAAGUUGCUAGCGACAACCAAUUCAGACUCACAACUAUAAAGAAAAAGCAGGCCCAACAUCUUUCCCCUCCAGUGACCUCGCCUUCACCUGCUGCCUGUCAAGUGGAGUGCAGUGCCUCAAUCUCACUUGCACUUCAGCUCUCUCUGCCGCCUUGGACUAUUGCUGCAUGCUCGCUCUUCCUUCUGAACGGCUCCACCACCAGUGAUGCAACACUUGUCUAA
This 309-nucleotide ribosomal RNA is filed under the name Triticum aestivum (bread wheat). RNAcentral's name for it is "partial small subunit ribosomal RNA". The record is from RNAcentral. Lineage: Eukaryota; Viridiplantae; Streptophyta; Magnoliopsida; Poales; Poaceae.